AAUCAACGCUGGCGGCGUGCCUCAGACAUGCAAGUCGAACGCGAAAGGUUCCUUCGGGAACCGAGUAGAGUGGCGCACGGGUGAGUAACACGUAGGUAAUUUGCCUUUGGGUGGGGAAUAACAGCCGGAAACGGCUGCUAAUACCGCAUAAUGCAGCGGCUCGACAUCGAGACAGUUGUUAAAGCGGGGGAUCGCAAGACCUCGCGCCUAAAGAGAAGCCUGCGGCAGAUUAGCUAGUUGGUAGGUAAUGGCCUACCAAGGCGACGAUCUGUAACCGGCCUGAGAGGGCGGUCGGUCACACUGACACUGACAUACGGGUCAGACUCCUACGGGA
RNAcentral lists this ribosomal RNA (334 nucleotides) under uncultured bacterium. RNAcentral describes it as "bacterial SSU rRNA". It matches the Rfam family "Bacterial small subunit ribosomal RNA", at positions 32 to 346 of the family's 1533-position model. The record is from RNAcentral.